AGUUUUCGCAGCUAUCUUCCGGCGAACUGCAGCCUCUCCAAUUCGCUGCAGCAAGCAGCAAUCCACAGCAGCGAACCAUAGUCUACAUCUAAUUGCUGUAGAUUUCUCUCACUGCAGUUUCCUUGAGUAACACUGCAGAUUUUCACGGUCAUUUCCCGGCAAACCGCAGUCUUGAGUACCGCUGCAGUUUUCGCAGCCAUCUUCCGGCGAACUGCAGCCUCUACAAUCCGCUGCAACAAACAGCAAUCAACAGCAGCGAACCACAGUCUUGAGAAUCGCUGCAGUUUUCGCGGCCAUCUUUCGGCAAACUGCAGCCUCUACAAUCUGCUGCAGCAAGCUGCAAUCCACAGCAGCUGCCGACAACUUUGGGCACUGUUGUAGAUUGCCCAAUCUGCUGCAGCAAUCUAUAGCAG
This 413-nucleotide long non-coding RNA is filed under the name Musa acuminata (dwarf banana). RNAcentral describes it as "long non-coding RNA (MACU_LNC009871)". The record is from RNAcentral. Lineage: Eukaryota; Viridiplantae; Streptophyta; Magnoliopsida; Zingiberales; Musaceae.